This 253-nucleotide ribosomal RNA is filed under the name uncultured bacterium. Its description in RNAcentral is "partial 16S ribosomal RNA". It matches the Rfam family "Bacterial small subunit ribosomal RNA", at positions 524 to 776 of the family's 1533-position model. The record is from RNAcentral.
AACGUAGGAGACAAACGUUAUCCGGAGUUACUGGGCGUAAAGGGCGUGUAGGUGGUUUCGUAAGUCUGGCGUGAAAUUUUUCGGCUUAACCGGGAAAGGUCGUCGGAUACUGCAGAACUAGAGGACGGUAGAGGCGUGUGGAAUUCCGGGUGUAGUGGUGAAAUGCGUAGAGAUCCGGAGGAACACCGGUGGCGAAGGCGGGUCUCUGGGCCGAUACUGACGCUGAGGAGCGAAAGCGUGGGGAGCGAACAGG